RNAcentral lists this transfer RNA (65 nucleotides) under Anomopsocus sp. AnspLA. RNAcentral's name for it is "tRNA-Tyr". It matches the Rfam family "tRNA". From Rfam's summary of the family: Transfer RNA (tRNA) molecules are approximately 80 nucleotides in length. Their secondary structure includes four short double-helical elements and three loops (D, anti-codon, and T loops). Further hydrogen bonds mediate the characteristic L-shaped molecular structure. tRNAs have two regions of fundamental functional importance: the anti-codon, which is responsible for specific mRNA codon recognition, and the 3' end, to which the tRNAs corresponding amino acid is attached (by aminoacyl-tRNA synthetases). tRNAs cope with the degeneracy of the genetic code in two manners: having more than one tRNA (with a specific anti-codon) for a particular amino acid; and 'wobble' base-pairing, i.e. permitting non-standard base-pairing at the 3rd anti-codon position. Lineage: Eukaryota; Metazoa; Arthropoda; Insecta; Psocodea; Lachesillidae. The record is from RNAcentral.
AAUGGGAUGGCUGAAUAGUAAGGCGAUAAAUUGUAAAUUUAUAAAUGAUUAAUAAUCUUCCAUUA